This is an RNA transcript of Tarenaya hassleriana, 1854 nucleotides long. RefSeq lists it as uncharacterized. The transcript has 8 exons. NCBI's taxonomy places the organism in Eukaryota, Viridiplantae, Streptophyta, Magnoliopsida, Brassicales, Cleomaceae. The record is from RefSeq and is a predicted model, not a curated record.
CGGAUAGCUUUCCUUCUAUUUCAUCGCUAGUUAACCGGGUGAGGUUAAAUCGACCGGUUCGAGUUAACCGAGAUUCGUAUCUUCUUCACCAACCAACAACGGAACUCCCUCUCUCCCUCUGUCUCAGCAGUCCACAAAGCUUUGGACUUCGUCGCAUCACAGAGCGCAAAAAAUAGAGGAGAUAUGAACUCCUCGUGUUCUUCUUCUUCUUCACCGCGUCUCUUCGUCACCAAAUGGCCAGUCUACAGAGCUCCUCUCUCAUCCUUCUCGGCGCCGAAACGGCGACGUUCCCGCCCUCGCCCUCGCCGGCGAAGAGCCUCCGACCAUGGCGGCGACGGCAGCCUUCUCAGCCUCUCUACCUCCUCCUCCGAGGAUCAGAGUCUCAGCCUGGUCCUCGACGUUCACCGGAUUUCAACCCUAGCUUCUUCACGCUUCCAUUGGCUCCUCGACUCCGGCAGAGACGCCUUCUCCGACCUCCAGAGUCUCGUCUCCCUCGACGAUAACCGGCGACUCGUCGUCUCCUGCAGGAAAUCGACGAUGCAGUUCAUUGGCGGUUUGGUUGUGACUGGAUUCGUCUUUGUUUUUGCUGUUAGGGCUCUUGUGAAUUUAGGAUCGCUUUUUAGGAGUUCGUUCGAGAGUAAACCCAAGUUGGUGGUUCGGAGAGACCGGAGUCUCGGUGGCAGAGAAGUGGUCGUUGCGGUUGAAACCAGUCGUGCCCCUUCGAGAGAUACGAGGAGCUCCAUGCCUUCUUCUGGUCAUGUCUCUCGAAGGAACACGAGCCCCUCGAGUUUCUCACUCAGAGCUCAGCAGAAAUUGCCGAAAUGGUGGCCGACUUCAUUGACAAGCCAGAGCUGGGAUGUUGAUAAGGAGGACUAUCAAAGAGAAGCCAACAGAUUGGUUCGAGCAAUGGUUGAUGAUAGAAUCAGCGGGAAGGACAUUAUGGAGGAUGAUAUAAUCCGGCUGCGGAGAUUAUGCCGGAUUGCCGGAAUACAAGUCUCUAUCGAGCCAGCAAACACCCGGGAUUCCUUCUACCGUACAUCUGUUGAUUUUGUUUUAAAUGUCUGCAGCAGGGCUUCUUCGGAGUCUACUGCUGUCGAGAUUGAUAGUGAGGAUGCCCGGGAUUUUAUUGCCGGCCUUUCCGAGAACGUUGAACUUGAAAAAACCGAUGCUGCUCGGAUGGUUUCUGCUACCGUUGCUGCACGCACUCGUUCCUGGUUUCUACAGGCUUGGGCUUUGGAAAUACAAGGCAAACAUUCUGAAUCAGUGGCGGAGCUUUCAAAAAUAUGCGUUGUUCAUCGUAUAUUCCCUCCCGAUGAGUCCUCUGCUGAGAUGGAAAUGGUUGCACGAGGCUUGGAGAAGCUGAUGAAGCUGGAAGAGAGGCAGACUCUGCUGAAAAAAUUCAUCGGGAUCUGCUGCAGUGAGGAUAGUCAUAGAAGUGCUGCAGAGGCUCUUGGUUUGGUGCACUGAAAAACCUUCAGAAGAGGAACAAAAGAUGCUGUCUCAGCAUGCCUCUUGCUAUCAGAGGAUUAAGUUUCAGGUGGGGCAGGAGCUGCUGCCGUGGAUGGAGGCCUCAACAGUGGCUGCAGGGCUUUUACUACAAUGCUCAUGUUUGGCCUGAACUCUGCUUCAUAUUGCACGCACAAUGCUGCCACUGCCGCAAGCUGUCAUCAAUAACAGAAAAAAAGGCAAAUCAUAAAAGAAUCUUCAUUAGCUUUUCUAGUUUGGAAUCUUUGCCAGUUUUCCCCAGAAAAUAGGAAUGGAUUGGCUGAGACUGAGAUGAAUAAGUGUUUAUACACAUUUUACCUUCGCAACUGCCUUAGGAGGGUAUUCUCCUUUGAGAUUUGGAUCAACACA